This is a microRNA precursor of Astyanax mexicanus (Mexican tetra), 70 nucleotides long. It matches the Rfam family "miR-430 microRNA precursor family". Lineage: Eukaryota; Metazoa; Chordata; Actinopteri; Characiformes; Acestrorhamphidae. The record is from Rfam.
AUUGGUGCUCUAACAACAGCACUGAUCUUUCCAUAGUAAUUAGUAAGUGCUAUUUGUUGGGGUAGUUUGA